Molecule: ribosomal RNA, 971 nt
Filed under: bacterium AD262/2(2012)
Lineage: Bacteria
Description: bacterial SSU rRNA
Rfam family: Bacterial small subunit ribosomal RNA
Source: RNAcentral
GMGGCCUAACACAUGCAAGUCGAGCGGUAGCACAGAGAGCUUGCUCUCGGGUGACGAGCGGCGGACGGGUGAGUAAUGUCUGGGAAACUGCCUGAUGGAGGGGGAUAACUACUGGAAACGGUAGCUAAUACCGCAUAACGUCGCAAGACCAAAGUGGGGGACCUUCGGGCCUCAUGCCAUCAGAUGUGCCCAGAUGGGAUUAGCUAGUAGGUGGGGUAACGGCUCACCUAGGCGACGAUCCCUAGCUGGUCUGAGAGGAUGACCAGCCACACUGGAACUGAGACACGGUCCAGACUCCUACGGGAGGCAGCAGUGGGGAAUAUUGCACAAUGGGCGCAAGCCUGAUGCAGCCAUGCCGCGUGUGUGAAGAAGGCCUUCGGGUUGUAAAGCACUUUCAGCGGGGAGGAAGGCGAUAAGGUUAAUAACCUUGUCGAUUGACGUUACCCGCAGAAGAAGCACCGGCUAACUCCGUGCCAGCAGCCGCGGUAAUACGGAGGGUGCAAGCGUUAAUCGGAAUUACUGGGCGUAAAGCGCACGCAGGCGGUCUGUCAAGUCGGAUGUGAAAUCCCCGGGCUCAACCUGGGAACUGCAUUCGAAACUGGCAGGCUAGAGUCUUGUAGAGGGGGGUAGAAUUCCAGGUGUAGCGGUGAAAUGCGUAGAGAUCUGGAGGAAUACCGGUGGCGAAGGCGGCCCCCUGGACAAAGACUGACGCUCAGGUGCGAAAGCGUGGGGAGCAAACAGGAUUAGAUACCCUGGUAGUCCACGCCGUAAACGAUGUCGAUUUGGAGGUUGUGCCCUUGAGGCGUGGCUUCCGGAGCUAACGCGUUAAAUCGACCGCCUGGGGAGUACGGCCGCAAGGUUAAAACUCAAAUGAAUUGACGGGGGCCCGCACAAGCGGUGGAGCAUGUGGGUUAAUUCGAUGCAACGCGAAGAACCCUUACCUGGUCUUGACAUCCACAGAACUUUCCAGA